UACAGAGGGUGCAAGCGUUAAUCGGAAUUACUCGGCGUAAAGCGCGCGUAGGUGGUUUGUUAAGUUGAAUGUGAAAUCCCAGGGCUCAACCUGGGAACUGCAUCCAAAACUGGCACGCUAGAGUAUGGUAGAGGGUAGUGGAAUUUCCUGUGUAGCGGUGAAAUGCGUAGAUAUAGGAAGGAACACCAGUGGCGAAGGCGACUACCUGGACUGAUACUGACACUGAGGUGCGAAAGCGUGGGGAGCAAACAGG
RNAcentral lists this unclassified non-coding RNA (253 nucleotides) under uncultured Pseudomonadaceae bacterium. Its description in RNAcentral is "contains 16S-23S intergenic spacer region". It matches the Rfam family "Bacterial small subunit ribosomal RNA", at positions 524 to 776 of the family's 1533-position model. The record is from RNAcentral. Lineage: Bacteria; Pseudomonadati; Pseudomonadota; Gammaproteobacteria; Pseudomonadales; Pseudomonadaceae.